Molecule: ribosomal RNA, 429 nt
Filed under: Gemmatimonadota bacterium
Lineage: Bacteria; Pseudomonadati; Gemmatimonadota
Description: Gemmatimonadetes bacterium partial 16S ribosomal RNA
Rfam family: Bacterial small subunit ribosomal RNA
Source: RNAcentral
UAGGGAAUCUUCGGCCAUGGACGAAAGUCUGACCGAGCAACGCCGCGUGAGUGAAGAAGGUUUUCGGAUCGUAAAACUCUGUUGUUAGAGAAGAACAAGGACGUUAGUAACUGAACGUCCCCUGACGGUAUCUAACCAGAAAGCCACGGCUAACUACGUGCCAGCAGCCGCGGUAAUACGUAGGUGGCAAGCGUUGUCCGGAUUUAUUGGGCGUAAUGCGAGCGCAGGCGGUUUCUUAAGUCUGAUGUGAAAGCCCCCGGCUCAACCGGGGAGGGUCAUUGGAAACUGGGAGACUGGAGUGCAGAAGAGGGGAGUGGAAUUCCAUGUGUAGGGGUGAAAUGCGUAGAUAUAUGGAGGAACACCAGUGGGGAAGGCGGCUCUCUGGUCUGUAACGGACGCUGAGGCUCGAAAGGGGGGGGAGCAAACAGG